This 411-nucleotide ribosomal RNA is filed under the name uncultured bacterium. RNAcentral's name for it is "bacterial SSU rRNA". It matches the Rfam family "Bacterial small subunit ribosomal RNA", at positions 362 to 770 of the family's 1533-position model. The record is from RNAcentral.
UAUUGGUCAAUGGGCGGGAGCCUGAACCAGCCAAGUCGCGUGAGGGAUUAAGGCCCUACGGGUCGUAAACCUCUUUUGCCGGGGAGCAGGGCGGCGGACGUGUCCGCCGUUUGAGAGUACCCGGCGAAAAAGCAUCGGCUAACUCCGUGCCAGCAGCCGCGGUAAUACGGAGGAUGCGAGCGUUAUCCGGAUUUAUUGGGUUUAAAGGGUGCGCAGGCGGGAGAUCAAGUCAGCGGUAAAAUGUCGGGGCUCAACCCCGGCCGGCCGUUGAAACUGGUUUUCUAGAGUUGGAGAGAAGUAUGCGGAAUUCGUGGUGUAGCGGUGAAAUGCAUAGAUAUCACGAAGAACUCCGAUUGCGAAGGCAGCAUACCGGCUCCAUACUGACGCUGAGGCACGAAAGCGUGGGGAUCG